GAUGAACGCUGGCGGCGUGCCUAACACAUGCAAGUCGAACGGACUCAUAUUGAAACCUAGUGAUUUAUGAGUUAGUGGCGGACGGGUGAGUAACGCGUGGAAAACCUGCCGUAUACCGGGGGAUAACACUUAGAAAUAGGUGCUAAUACCGCAUAAGCGCACAGCUUCGCAUGAAGCAGUGUGAAAAACUCCGGUGGUAUAUGAUGGUUCCGCGUCUGAUUAGCGAGUGGGCGGGGUAACGGCCCACCAAGGCAGCGAUCAGUAGCCGGCCUGAGAGGGUGAACGGCCACAUUGGGACUGAGACACGGCCCAA
RNAcentral lists this ribosomal RNA (313 nucleotides) under uncultured bacterium. RNAcentral's name for it is "bacterial SSU rRNA". It matches the Rfam family "Bacterial small subunit ribosomal RNA", at positions 28 to 334 of the family's 1533-position model. The record is from RNAcentral.